CCUACGGGAGGCAGCAGUGAGGAAUAUUGGUCAAUGGGCGCGAGCCUGAACCAGCCAAGUCGCGUGAGGGAAGACGGUCCUAUGGAUUGUAAACCUCUUUUGUCGGGGAGCAAAAGACGCCACGCGUGGCGUUCCGAGAGUACCCGAAGAAAAAGCAUCGGCUAACUCUGUGCCAGCAGCCGCGGUAAUACGGAGGAUGCGAGCGUUAUCCGGAUUUAUUGGGUUGAAAGGGUGAGCAGGCGGAAGAUCAAGUCAGCGGUAAAAUUGAGAGGCUCAACCUCUUCGAGCCGUUGAAACUGGUUGUCUUGAGUGAGCGAGAAGUAUGCGGAAUGCGUGGUGUAGCGGUGAAAUGCAUAGAUAUCACGAAGAACUCCGAUUGCGAAGGCAGCAUACCGGCGCUCAACUGACGCUCAUGCACGAAAGUGUGGGUAUCGAACAGGAUUAGAUACCCGUGUAGUC
Molecule: ribosomal RNA, 459 nt
Filed under: uncultured bacterium
Lineage: Bacteria
Description: partial 16S ribosomal RNA
Rfam family: Bacterial small subunit ribosomal RNA
Source: RNAcentral